This 219-nucleotide ribosomal RNA is filed under the name uncultured bacterium. RNAcentral describes it as "partial 16S ribosomal RNA". It matches the Rfam family "Bacterial small subunit ribosomal RNA", at positions 57 to 305 of the family's 1533-position model. The record is from RNAcentral.
GCAAGUCGAACGGAGUAGAAAUACUUAGUGGCGGACGGGUGAGUAACGCGUGAGAAUCUGCCUUCAGGACGGAGACAACAGUUGGAAACGACUGCUAAGCCCCGAUGAACCGAAAGGGAAAAUAUUUAUAGCCUGAAGAUGAGCUCGCGUCCGAUUAGCUAGUUGGGGGGGUAAAAGCCCACCAAGGCGACGAUCGGUAGCUGGUCUGAGAGGACGAUC